Molecule: non-coding RNA, 636 nt
Organism: Drosophila melanogaster (fruit fly)
Lineage: Eukaryota; Metazoa; Arthropoda; Insecta; Diptera; Drosophilidae
Source: Ensembl
AUUUGUUAAUUUUCAUCGAGAUCUCCUUCGCGUGUAAAAAUGUUUGUUGUUGCAUCGUUCUUUGCUUAUUUGGAGUACGGUUUUGGGUUAUUUGCGUCUGUUGUGUGGUCCGACCCUCCUGUUUUCCGACUUGGCGCUACCCAUCCCUUCCAUCCAUUUGUUUCCAAACAGUGGUCAACUAAUGUGUCCCAAAUGUCCCGGGGCGACAACCAAAACAAGCCACUUGUCGCAGGACCUCCGCAGCACAGCUGUCUAGACGGAUGUCGAGUGCAAAUCCCAAUUAGGCACCUUGACCGAGCCAUCCCAGCCGAACUAGCCACUUGAGUGGACGGAGGAUGCGGACCACGACGGUUCCGCUCUCGGCGUUCACACAUAUUUCAUCCUCCUGCCGACAUCCUCAAGAGUGUCCUGUCUGGUCGGGAGCGACGGGCGACAAGGCGUGAUUUGUAAACAAUGCCACACGCAUGAUUACAUGAUCAUGGAGCCACUGCAUCACCAUCACCAUCAUGUGGGCGGGGGAAGCUAUGCUACGUAAACUGACUGGCGGCCCCGAUGGUUUCCAAUUGCAUAUUAGCGUCGCCGCAAAGCGGAUGGCCGACUCCACACUGAGGGAAACGUAGUAGUUGUGCUAUACUG